UGGGUAGUUUUUAAAGAACACCAUGUGGGUAGUUUUCAAAGAACACCAUGUGGGUAAUUUUUAAAGAAAUCCUUAUGGGUAGUUUUUAAAGAACACCAUGUGGGUAGUUUUAAAGAACACCAUGUGGGUAGUUUUUAAAGAACACCAUGUGGGUAUUUUUAAAGAACACCAUGUGGGUAGUUUUAAAGAACACCAUGUGGGUAGUUUUUAAAGAACACCAUGUGGGUAGUUUUAAAGAACACCAUGUGGGUAAUUUUUAAAGAAAUCCUUAUGGGUAGUUUUUAAAGAACACCAUGUGGGUAGUUUUAAAGAAUGUCCUUUUAAGAAGCUGCUGGUCCUCGUAGUUUGAGUCAGCAUGAAUGUGAAUCGUUCUGCAAACCAAAGUCAUUGGCCAUGAAUCAAACUCAACGUUCUUUUAUUUAUGAACUAGGCUUCCUCGUCCACACAUUUGUUCGUCCUUUUUAUUGAAACUUUAUUCUUGUAGCGCGUCUCCUUUUGCCUUCUUUUCACUUGAUCGUGGAGCUGGCUGGAAAAGAAAAGAAUUCCAACCAUUUUAAAAACUGCACAGUGAUUCUACUUUUUAAUGAUGUAAGUUCUUAAUGACUCAAAACAAAAAUCCUCAUCUUUGAUUAUUGUUUGUUUGUUUUUGUGUUCAAACUCAUUUCACUUCAUGUAUUAUCAAAUAAUGAUGUACAGCACAAGCAAGUUGGGAUAAAAAAAACAUGUACUUUUGUGCUUUUAAAUAGUUUAUUGUGACAUUUGUGGUACUUGAAUCUUGUGUAUAUUCUCUGUACCUUGUACUCAUCUUUUUAUAUUGUUGCAUGUACUGUACAUUAGUAGUUGUACUAUUAUUAUUACACAAACUGCUGAGUCCAA
This is a long non-coding RNA of Nerophis ophidion (straightnose pipefish), 876 nucleotides long. RefSeq lists it as uncharacterized. The record is from RefSeq and is a predicted model, not a curated record. Lineage: Eukaryota; Metazoa; Chordata; Actinopteri; Syngnathiformes; Syngnathidae. The transcript is spliced from 2 exons.